This is a long non-coding RNA of Magallana angulata, 564 nucleotides long. RefSeq lists it as uncharacterized. NCBI's taxonomy places the organism in Eukaryota, Metazoa, Mollusca, Bivalvia, Ostreida, Ostreidae. The transcript is spliced from 3 exons. The record is from RefSeq and is a predicted model, not a curated record.
CCAACGAUUCGAUUGGACGAAAAUCAACUUAAAGAUAUCUUACGCGAUUUUCAAUCUCUUAAAUCACAAGAAAGAAGUUGGAGUAUAUCGAUUUUUGAAAUUGGCGCCUUGCUUCUUCAACAGGUAACAACAGGAAUGUAGGAUUAUGGGAUAUGUACGCACAUGUCAAGGCCGCCAUUGCCAUUCGCAGAAACUUCGCGGGAAAAGUUUACAAAGUCACGAUAUCAGCAAAAACAAAGGCACCUGUUGUAACUGAUGAAUUUACUGGACGAUAGACAAUAGAUGGUUGGAAUCUGUAAAUCUGAAUUUUCUCCUGCCAUGAUAGUACUGGUCAAUUAGUCAACCUGCUGAUGAUUCGCGGAAGUGGAACUAUGCUGAUGUUGGAAUUUGUCUCCUCUGGAUAUAAAUGGGACCAAUGAGGAAUCGUGGACAUUUAUUGUUAGAUGGCACUGAGGGUGUUGUACGUACAUGUAGAGCUUUGUAAGGGGACUGCCAAGAACGGUAGAUAUUUAAUUUUGGAUUACCUGAAGGCUGUUGUUGAUUCUACCACGUGGAGGGCUUCUA